UUAAAAAGCUCGUAGUUGAAUUUCGGGAUUUAUCCGUUGGUCGGGCUUUUGGGUCUGUACUGGCGUGAUGGAUUUCUACCUUCUGAAUAACCGGCAUGUCAUUAAUUUGGUGCGCCGGGGAAGCAGGACUGUUACCUUGAAAAAAUUAGAGUGCCUAAAGCAGGCUAUUGCCUGAAUACAUUAGCAUGGAAUAAUGAAAUAGGACGGCAUGGUUCUAUUUUGUUGGUUUCUAGGAUCACCGUAAUGAUUAAUAGGGAUAGUUGGGGG
Molecule: ribosomal RNA, 267 nt
Filed under: uncultured Glomeromycotina
Lineage: Eukaryota; Fungi; Glomeromycota
Description: partial 18S ribosomal RNA
Rfam family: Eukaryotic small subunit ribosomal RNA
Source: RNAcentral